Bos indicus x Bos taurus (hybrid cattle) is the source of this 143-nucleotide non-coding RNA. The record is from Ensembl. Lineage: Eukaryota; Metazoa; Chordata; Mammalia; Artiodactyla; Bovidae.
CCCCCGGGUCCACGAUGCAGCUCCCGGAUGAGGCCGCAGUAUUUUCCUUAUAUGAUCGGGCCCCAUGGCUGACGGCGCCGCUGGCCCGGAGCCUGAGAGGAUUAUGAAAAUGUGUCAGGAGAAAUGGGGCCAGGGACCCGGGG